GAGACACUCUACUGCCAUCAUGCAAUGAUAAACAUUGGCAUCCCAUCCAGGGUGUACCCCAGCCUUGUGCCCUGUGCGGCCUAGGAUUGGCUCCCAGACCCCUGCCCCCUUGUGACCCUAACCAGGAUAAGUGGUUAGAAGAUAGAUGGAUUGAUCAUGCAAUAAAGUUUUUAAAAA
Paramormyrops kingsleyae is the source of this 177-nucleotide non-coding RNA. The record is from RefSeq and is a predicted model, not a curated record. NCBI's taxonomy places the organism in Eukaryota, Metazoa, Chordata, Actinopteri, Osteoglossiformes, Mormyridae.